GCCCGUCAGCUGUCCUCCCGAAAACUCAUUGAAUGUCUGGGAUGGAAAGACUUCAGUACUGAGGUGUUCGGUAUGGCGUUUCUUUUUAUUCUUAGAUGUUCGACUAGAUUUUAUCUUAGCUAAAUUUUUUAUUUUCUUUCAGUAAUCAUGGUUCCCAUAAUCCAAAGAAGAAUUACUUUAAGCAAGCUGCGAAUUAGAUGGAGGUCGAAGAGACUUCUCUUCCAGUCGAACCGUGGC
Molecule: long non-coding RNA, 237 nt
Filed under: Vigna radiata
Lineage: Eukaryota; Viridiplantae; Streptophyta; Magnoliopsida; Fabales; Fabaceae
Description: long non-coding RNA (VRAD_LNC007315)
Source: RNAcentral